Molecule: long non-coding RNA, 251 nt
Filed under: Gossypium barbadense (sea-island cotton)
Lineage: Eukaryota; Viridiplantae; Streptophyta; Magnoliopsida; Malvales; Malvaceae
Description: long non-coding RNA (GBAR_LNC006214)
Source: RNAcentral
GAAUGUGUUGUCAGUUUGAUUGGAUUAUAAUUUCCAUGGUUCUAUUUUUCUCUAGUAUUUUGUUAUAUUUCGCCUGUUGGGAAUCGAUGAGAAAUUGUGUAUGGUGCCAUGAUUCUAUUUCUACCAAUCAUUGCUCUAAUUGAGAAGUAUAUAGUUCUGGUCGUAUUUGUUGUCAGUGGUUUGGAAUGAUGUUAUUCUGGAUUUUUUUCUUUGAAAAAAAAUUUGGGGUCUUUCAUAUUUUUAUGAGUCUG